RNAcentral lists this small RNA (158 nucleotides) under Streptantibioticus cattleyicolor. Its description in RNAcentral is "Streptomyces cattleya c-di-AMP sequence". It matches the Rfam family "c-di-AMP riboswitch aptamer (ydaO/yuaA leader)". Rfam says of the family: This family represents a conserved RNA structure found upstream of the ydaO and yuaA genes in Bacillus subtilis and related genes in other bacteria. The ydaO/yuaA element is thought to act as a genetic "off" switch for the ydaO and yuaA genes in its native state. The record is from RNAcentral. Lineage: Bacteria; Bacillati; Actinomycetota; Actinomycetes; Kitasatosporales; Streptomycetaceae. RNAcentral also lists the same sequence under 1 other name.
GGUACGCCUCCGCUGAGUCCGGCGUGGCCGGAACCGGGGAACCACACGCAGGACUUGGGGUGAAUCGGCCGGCGCGUAACCGUGCGCGAGGGCCGUAGGGCGGCCUUCCGAAGCCCGAACCCGACAGCUAACCCGGUAGGCGGUCCACGGAAGGAGCG